RNAcentral lists this microRNA precursor (151 nucleotides) under Ipomoea nil (Japanese morning glory). Lineage: Eukaryota; Viridiplantae; Streptophyta; Magnoliopsida; Solanales; Convolvulaceae. The record is from RNAcentral.
GCAGGUGGAUGCAGCCAAGGAUGACUUGCCGGCCGGUGAACUCUUCCUCCUAUUGCGGCGGACCCAACCAUAUAUCCACCGCUCCGUACACUCUCAGGGUGACGAAAAGUUUGUAAGUUGGCGAGUUGUCCUUGGCUACAUCUUCCUGUCU